Nymphaea colorata (pocket water lily) is the source of this 4619-nucleotide long non-coding RNA. RefSeq lists it as uncharacterized. NCBI's taxonomy places the organism in Eukaryota, Viridiplantae, Streptophyta, Magnoliopsida, Nymphaeales, Nymphaeaceae. The record is from RefSeq and is a predicted model, not a curated record. The transcript has 3 exons.
UAACUACAGGUGUGGAUUACGCGGGGUCGCUUCCAGGAAGGGAUUAAAAAUUCGCAGAGGAAGUGAAGCAGAGCGAGAAGCAGUCACAGAGAGUCGGAAGAUCGCUGCGGGUUGCUUGUUGGAAUCGCAAUUGAUCGUGGACGAAGAACUGACGGUGUGUAACUCUGUCCAAGUGCCAAAGCAAAAUGUUGAAGGAUACUUUUCCAAGGAGAAGGUCCGAGCCGGAGGGCAUGGGCUUGUCUCUGACCCAGAGGAUCAAAGUGGGUGACUCUCUACUUUCAACUCCUGCAUGAAACAACUGAAUUAGCGCUUCUGCUCUAACAGCUUCAAGGCCACCUCAUGGUUCAAAUCUAAGGAAAUUUUACUAAGGGAUUUAAUCCAAACCAUUACGAUUAAGUUUAGAACCUUGGGCGAUUUGCAGCAAUCAGGUAAAUCACAGACACUAUAUUAACAAAGAUCAGGUGAAUUAUCUUCAUAUGCACCUCGAUUGAUGCCCUUAUCGAACAGUAAAUUAUUGGGCUACCUAUGAUUUAGUGCACAUCAACGAAGAUCUGUCCAUAUUAGCAAGCUAAUUUAUUGCUUAAAUAUAAUAGUUAAACAGGUGGCUUAUAAUUGUGAGGCAGUCCUUACAGAUGAAUUUGUUCUGUUUUAUUAUCUUAUUAUCAAUCAUUCUCUGAUGGUGAGACAGAUAUCUGGCUUUUUUUUGUUUGUUCUGUGAGCCUGUUUCGCACUGUACUGCAAAAUGUCCUGAUCAUAUGGUUUCAUGCGGCACGUGACAUCAGCCGGGACCUUGAUGAAGCAUCUUCGGAAAGUUUUUCUUGCUCAAUCUUCGCCUGAAUAUUUGUCCAUGUCUGAGCAAAUAGCUCCCUUACAAUAUGGGUCAUUGAGCAUUGAUUGUGGAUUCAAAUGCUAAAUCUUAGUUACAAUGAGGUCCAAAAUUUUGAAGGUCAACAGAUCGUAGUUAGUACUUAUUUGCUUCUUGAAAUUUCUUCUGGAAGUUAGUAAGCGACACUUCGUAAUUGAUUUUUCCAUUUAUGUUGAUUUUUAGUGUUGGUAGGCCAUUUUGUUAUUCAUGUCUAUGUGCUGAUCUCCAGUAAAAAUAUUGCAUUUCAGAGAAGUUAGACGGAGACAGAGAAGGAGAAUCUGUCUGGACCAUGGUAAUGUUUGUCUGUCUACACGCUUGUUUGCCACUGAUUUAACCAGCAAAUGUUAGAUUCUUGCUUUAUGGUUUGAGAAUGAUUUAUUUAGCCCCUUCAUAUCUUUUAACCACCGUCCAAUAUCUUUGAUACUUUGUAUUCAUAUUGCAGUAUUGGCAUUUUGAAGCUAACAUAUCAUUCUUCACCUAGAUUUCCUAUCUUUUUUUUUUUACCUUUUUCUGCUAUACAAAUACAACUAUCGUUCCCAACUUGUUGGUGGAUCCUGGGGGAGGGAUUUAGAACCAGCUCCAAAAUGGAACUGGAUUUACUCCUUUCCCAUAUAUUUGGGUGUAUAGUAAAAUCUUUUUUUUUUUUUUUUUGCUAAGAAAAGUCCACAAAACUGCUUGUUUGAUAUUUUUUAUACUGUUUGUCAUAAUUUUGGAACCACCAACCUGUUCCCAAGUAGACGACAUUUUUUAAGAAGACUGAAUUCCGAAGAAGAGUGCUGAAUAUGGUAUUUCACGAAUAUGGGUUGAAGAAUUAAACCAUAGAAUUGGAAUUGUUUGACGGCCACAAUGCGUCCGUUAUUGUCACGAGAUUGGCUUCAUAAGUUUGAAAGCCAGGGCGGGGCGUAAGGUCAAGGGUGGGUGUAGCCGUCGGUCGAUAAAGGGGCAAAUGGGCCGAGCUGCUCCUUUUAGCCAAUGUAUGGUGAUGAUCUCUUGGAACGGGAAUUAAGAGGAGUGCCAACAGUGGUUUAUUUUGCAAUGCUUAGGAACUUAGUCGAACUCUCAGAAUUCAUGAACACGGGAAUGGUUUACAAAUGGACAGUAAACAUGCGGGGUCAAUUUUUUAACACAUCAAUCCGUAAGUAACUCAUGUUCAACUGAACUUAAUGACGAAUUUUACUUUUGGAUGUUAGUUUUGUAUACUGAAAUGCUUCGAAAAAUAAAGGAAACCCUUUUUCUUUGAAAGCAUAUGUCGUCAACUACACAUUUCUGGCAUUCAAUAGUUGAGAGACAUAAUUAAAUAACUGAUUAUAUAUAGCAUGUCAACUACACAUUUCUGCCAUUCAAAUAGUUGAGAGCCAAUUGACACAAUUAAAUAAUUAUUACAAUUUAAGGACCUCAUAUACGCUUUUAAAUGUGUGCAUUGUACAUGAUGCAUUAAUCAGAACAUUUCAUUAGCAUGGUCAAACAAUUUAGAAUUGAUCACAAGUAAAAUAAUCCUUAAAAAAUAAAAGAUGGAAUGGCUUAGGGUAGACACCAUCAAGUGGUUAAUACAGUCCAGCGAAUCAGAUGCAUUUUCUUCCCUUAUACAUAAUCGGCCCCCCCGUAUCUCAAAGUUUGGGUCAGAGGUUCACUUAAUCUUUUUGUGUCUUUUGUUGGUGCCUUUGGACCUUCGUACAUGCUUUCGAGUCUCGGUUGUGAAAUGCAGUGUUACUAAAUCGUCUGAAUUGGCUGAUUCAAAUAAAGUUGGUCCACGGCAGACCGAUCCAAAAGUAACAUAUGUUGGUUUUUUUAAGUAUUUGUCAUAUUUUAAGAACCUUCUUAUUUUAUUGUCUUUAACUGUUUCUCUUCUUCUUUCAAGAAAUGGUUUCACUUGUUUUCUGUCAAGUUCUCACCGACUCAGCCGAAUCAGUGAAUCGGUAUAUAUAGUCCCAAAUCAGCAACCUCGCUGAUUUGUGUCCUCAAUCAAGCAGGGGCAGAGCCGGGGGCCGGCAGGGCCAUGGCUCCUUUAAGUUUUUGAAAAUUAAUUUUUUACUACUAAAUAUUGUUCCCUGUUAAAAAUUUUUAAAAAAUACUCCCAAGUGAAAAAAAUCUUUGACUCCGCCUCUGCUGAUAACGUUUCAACAAGUUCAAAAGCUUCAAUGCUUUUGAACCGUGGAGACUUGAAAACGUUAGUCAUAAUUCAGGAAUCAGGUUGGCUUUAAAUUUUGAAAACUUGGGCUAAGCAAAAAUUUUAAGAUAUUGUCCGGCUCCUAUCAAAAUUUGAAAAAAUGCUGUUAUUUUUCUAGCUCCCUCUGCUUGUGUACGUUAAUCCUGUGCCCAAUGGAUGCCGAAGUUAAUCAAACACAGAAGAGUUGGCAAAUUAAGACGACUUUGGGAGCCAUGUAGAUAUGAAUGAUCUUCGACACAACUGGACAUUGAGAGCCUGAGCGUUAAUGGUGAUUGCUUCUUCAGCUAGAAAGGAUUGUCCUUCCAUCAUGCUAUGUGGAUUAUCAUGGUCUUAUAUAUUUAAUCAUCUAUUUUGCUUUACUUUGGGGAAUGUCAUUCAUCUUUUCCAUUUUAUCGUGCACAUGAUUGUAUUAUACUGGAUUCUCUGUAUCAGUUGUCUCAAUAUUUUUUUUUUUAAUACUUCUGCACCUUAAACUUCUACCGGUUGGUAACAAGAGGAAAUUCUUCAUUUUUUAAACUAGGAAAAUACUUCCAUACUGUUACUUUAUAUAUAGAUAUUGCAGAUCAAAAUAUCUCCACUAUGAUUUUGUUUAUGUUUUACGAAGUUGCAGAAUGACUGGGAAGUUUGGCUUCCAAAUCAAGAUGGGGGAGACCAAGUGGGCUACCACUGUAGCAAAUUCUGGGUAAAGAUACUUGGGGAGCGGCACUGGCACUCUCUUCAUGCUUGCUUGUUGUCAGCUUACGAGGGGACAUGGACGUGAGGAUUCAUGGCUGCUGGUUUUCUCCCAUCCUGCUCUGAUAAGCUAAUCCGCCACUGUGCGUAAAGUCUCAGAACUGCCCACCUGAGGACAGGGUCCCUAUUCCUCGGCUUAUAAAAAGCUUCGAAGCGUCUGACUGCAAAAACCAAAGGUUUUCUGGCUUGGUGCCAUCUUCUGUCUGCUCACUUCAGCAUCAAGAAUCGACGGCCUGUAGUACAUCAAGCCUUUCAUGAAACGAAGAAGAUAACAUAGGAGAAAAAGAACUUAUUGAUUUGGCCAGAAAGCAGUGGAGCAGGUAAUGGGUGCAUCCCUAUCUGCCGGCAUUUCCAGAUUGGUCGAGCAGGGCGCGGCAAAGGUCUGCCGGACUGUAGUGCUGCCUGCUUUUGGUGGGAUCGGCCAGACCCGGUCGAUCGUCGAUCUUGCCCGGUUUAGUUUUGUGGACCUAAAAUUUAAAGUUCAAUGACUUAAGAGUAUCAUUCAUGAACUUAGAGAGAAGGAGAAGAUUGGCGUGGUACAUGCCGUAACACAGUUAUGCUUAUCAUGAAUUAUUUAUUAGCUUAUGUGCUAAAAUUGAGUGUGAGAUCGGCAGAAGCUUGCUUUAAUGGAGAACCUGACAGAGGAGGGUUUUUAAAUGGAGGAGGUCACGAGAACUCGAUAUCCAUGGCAGUCUCUUGGCACAAAAGCCUUUGCUAACCAUACGUAUGUUGGCCAUAGAAAAUCCGAUGUUGAACUCCUCGUGUUAUUUACACUAGUCCAUGUUUAUGUAUAUUUAGGAGCAUGCAUUUUAAGUGAUUAACUCUAAUUAUAUGGUAAAUAUGUCGGUUUCAAUC